RNAcentral lists this long non-coding RNA (1148 nucleotides) under Cricetulus griseus (Chinese hamster). RNAcentral's name for it is "lncRNA (ENSCGRG00015030793.1)". Lineage: Eukaryota; Metazoa; Chordata; Mammalia; Rodentia; Cricetidae. The record is from RNAcentral.
CCUGGACGUCUCACCAUCUUUGAGAGCUUUCUGACAGCAUCUUGCAGACCUCAUCAUCUUCAUAGAGAUUGAAAAAGCUUUUGGAUUCUGCUAGCUCUUUUGGGCCCAAUUGCCAAGUUCCCCUUGGUCUAUAACAGUGCCCGUCACUCAUCAGCAGGCAAACUGUCGUGGGUCAAGACACCUUGCUUCUUGGGAAAACCUUGUCAUUCCACUCUUUACCUAGAGCAUCAGCAGCUACUUCUGUGGCCAUGUAUCACUGAAGCCGCUCUUGUUCUUUGCUGACCUUCCUGGGGUUAACCCUGACUGACGGCAGUGAUACCAGAAUGGACCUGUCCCAUGAAUGAGGACCCGGAAGCAUACUGGACCUUGCCAGACCCUUUGAGCUGAGCAGCUGGAGCUGUUUGCCGUUAUCACGCGCUGGGAGAGGCAGAGGGAAAGUGUUUUUCUCAGGGAUCUGUAACAUCAACCAGCUAGUGACAGAAUCACUGGGUGGACAGUUGGGGGUGGAGAUCAGCGAGAAUCUGAUGACCUAAGACAGGCCCCGGUGACUGCUGAGGAAGGAAGAGUCACUGCUUUGGGGACAUGGCCCCUGGGAUGGGCUGGGAACAGACAGCAGCAAUACCACCAUGUGAAUGCGGCUCAAAGAAAAUAUCAGGGCCUUUGCAUGGGACCUCCCUUUUCCAAGCAAAUGGAUGGAACUAGAAGAAACCAUCCUGAGUGAGUUAACCCAGUCACAAAAAGACAAACAUGAGCCCUCAUCAAGCAGAGGCAGACACCCAAAGCUGUACACUGAAUUGAACUCUGGAAGCCAGUGCAGAGAGGGAGGAAUGAAGAACAAAGAGAUCAGGACCAGGCUGGUGAAACCCACAGAAAUAGUUGACCUGAGCAAGGGGGAGCACAUGGACCCCAGACUGAUGUCUGGGAGGCCAGCACGGGACUGAUCCAGACCCCUGAAUGUGGAUGUCAAUGAGGAGGCCUCGGCACUCUAUGGGGCCCCUGGUAGUGGAUCAGUAUUUUUCCCUGGUGUAAGAAGGGACUUUGAGAGCCCAUCCCACAUGAGGGAUGCUCUCUUAGCCUGGACACAUGGGGGAGGGCCUAGGCCUUGCCCAGGAUGAUAUGACAGACUUUGGGGAAUCCCCAUGGAGGGC